CUGAUCAUCGAGACACCGAGGUAUUUUUGCAGGCGUCGACAGGACUCGACGUCUCCUCUAUCUUUACUUUUCAGCCUGUUAUCUCAUGUAUUCGGGACAAACAUCUUUAUAUUUCCUUCAGACGGUUGUUUUUAGUAUUCUUAGAUGUUCGUGAGUAUUGUGGCACCAGUUCUUGGUUAGUGUAUUAUGUUUGGAUUUCUGUAUCGCAUCUAGUGAAAUUUACUAAGCCUUCCAUUAAAUUUAUCUAUUCCAUAGUAAUCAUAUUUUUAUUGCUAAUUAUUUUAAAAUAAGUAUUGUUAAAAAUGGAAGGAUAAGAAAGGGUUGGCUUGCCUAGCUCCCAUUAGUAGGCGCCAUCACGACUCCCGAUUGGGGGAGGGGGAAUUCGGGUCGUGACAAGUUGGUAUCAGAGCACUAGGUUACAUAGGUAUCACAACUCACGGACAAUCUUAGUAAAGCCUGAGGGAUCGGUACAGAGAUGUCUGCAUUUAUCCCCAGAGGCUACAGAGUUAGGAAAAUUUCACCUUCAUUCUUUCCUGUCGUGCAAAUUUGUUCUUCAAGUGCUAAUUGAAUUUCUACUCUAUUCUUCCACAGAUGGCAAGAACACGCGCUUCCUCAUCUAAUGAUCAUCAGCUCGAGGCCCCAGCAGCAACUCCAGCUAGAGGCAGAGGCCGAGGUUGAUGCCGUCCUAGAGGCCGAGGUAGGGGCUGAGCUCAGUCCCGAGCAACAGCACCAAUGGCGGAGCCUCAGGUUCAGAUUGAGGAGGAGGUUCCGGCCCCAACUGAUCCAGUGGGCCCAGCUCAAGUCCCAGAAGGAUUUAUUGCCACCCCAGUUCUUCAGGAUGCUUUAGUCAGGUAGGUUGGUUUUAUGAAGGGCAUUUCUAGAGAGGGUUUUCUUCCAACAGCACCAGCCAAAUCUCAGGCUGGAGGGACCCCUACUCCUGCUACACGUGCUCCGGAACGAGUAGUUCCUAGGUUCUGGCCCCAGUAGUUCAGCCAGCUGCGACAGUCCAGCCGGGUAUAGUAGUUCAUACUGGUGAAGGUGCAGCUAUGUGUGCUAAUGCUUUAUGGAGAUUGGACAGAUUCACCAUGCUCUUCAUUCUCACAUAUAGUGGCACUCUUUUCGAGGAUGCUCAGAAUUUCAUAUUCAGCUUCCAUGAGGUUCUAAGAACUAUGAGUAUUUUGGCAAUGGGGUCGACUUCGCCACUUUUCGCCUAGCACGAUCCGCCAAGACUUGGUGGAGGGAUUUCUAUUUAGCCAGGUCAAUAGGGUCGCCAUCAUUGACCUGGAACCAUUUUUCAGAGUUAUUUCUAGGGAAGUUUCUCCCAGUCACUCAGCAGGAUGCUCUCCGCAGGCAGUUCGAGCAUCUCCAUCAGGGUACUAUGACAGUCACCCAGUACGAGACUCGGUUCAUUGAUCUCGCUCACCAUGUUAUUGUGAUACUUCCCAUUGACAGCAAGAGGGUGAUAAGGUUUAUUGAUGGCUUGAAUCAGCCGAUUCGUGUUUAGAUGGCCAUGAGUGCCGGUACUGAUAUUUCAUUUUAGGAAGGAGAUGGUGCCCGUCAGAUAGAGAUGGCACUUGCUCAGUGAGGUGGUCAUGGGUCGGAUAAGAGGCCCCAUAGUUCAGGCGGAUUUAGUGGUACCUCGUAUGGAGGUAGAGAUUCUUAUGGUAGAGGCCAUCCUCCUAUGCCUUUUCAGUCAACUCUUCAGGCUUCUCACGGUUCUUCAAGUGGUCGUGAUUUCCAAUCGCAGUAUUCUGAACAACAUCUCUUCUGUUCACCUUCAGUGCCUAUCAGUGCACCGCCAAUUUGCUAUUCUCAGUAGCCGAGGGCUUGUUACACCUGCGGCGAUACGAGACACAUUGCCAAGCAUUGCCCUCGAGCUUCCAGCAGCUCCCAGCAGCAGGGUUCUCGUGCUUUGAUUCCAGCAACGGAUGCUCCACAGCCUGCCCAACCAUCUAGAGGAGGCGGCAGGGGUACUAGAGGUGGAGGUAUAGGUCAUAGAGGUGGAGCUCAGACCGACAGAGGUAGAGGUCAGCCAGAACCUGAUCGUUCCAGAGAUAUUGCUCAGGGUAGUGGGGCCCAUCCCCGACGCUAUGCACUUCAGGUCAGACCAGAGGCUAAGUCCUCAGAUGCAGUUAUUACAGCUACUAUUCUGGUUUGUGAUUGAGAAUCUUUAGUGCUAUUUGACCCCGGGUCUACAUAUUCAUACGUGUCUUCUUAUUUUUCACCGUACCUGGUUCAGCCUAGUGAUUCAUUGGGUGUUCCUGUUUAUGUGUCUACACCUGUGGGUGAUUCUAUUGUGGUUGAUCGAGUUCAUCGAUCUUGUGUUGUGGUGAUUGGGGGUCUUGCGACCCAUGUUGAUUUAUUGAUUCUAAAUAUGGUUGAUUUCGAUAUCAUAUUGGGGAUGGGCUGGCUAUCUCCAUAUCAUGCUAUCUUGGAUUGUCAUGCCAAGACUGUAACUUUAGCUCUGACGAAUUUGCCUCGAAUAGAAUGGAAGGGAAUGUCUGGUCAUAUUAGCCGCAAUGUUAUUUCAUAUAUUAAGGCUUAGCAUAUGGUUGAAAAGGGUGUUUGGCUUAUCUAGCAUAUGUUCGCGAUUCCGGCACCGAGGUUCCUUCUAUUGAUUCGGUGCCCGUGGUUCGCAAGUUUCUUGAAGUUUUCCCUUCAGACCUGCCGGGUAUGCCACCCAAUAGAGAUAUUGAUUUUUUCAUUGAUCUAUCUUCAGGCACUCAGCCCAUUUCUAUUCCUCCAUAUCGUCUGGCCCCGCCGGAAUUAAAAGAAUUGAAGGAACAGUUGCAGGAUUUAAUUAAAAAGCUUUUCAUCAGACCCAGUGUUUCGCCGUGGGGUACGCCGGUAUUAUUUGUUAAGAAGAAGGAUGGUUCGAUGCGAAUGCACAUCGAUUACCGGCAAUUAAACAAGGUUACAAUCAAGAACAAGUAUCCACUACCGCAGAUUGAUGGUUUAUUUGACUAAGUUCAGGGUGCCAAGGUAUUUUCAAAAAUAGACUUGAGAUCUGGCUACCAUCAGUUGAAGAUUAGGGCAUAGGAUGUUUCUAAGACAGCUUUCCGCACGCGGUACGGACAUUAUGAAUUUUUGUUCAUGACUUUUGGGCUGACAAAUGCCCCCGCAACCUUUAUUUAAUUGAUGAACAGAGUGUUCAUGCCUUAUUUAGACUUGUUCGUGAUCGUUUUCAUUGAUGACAUAUUGAUAUACUCUCGCAGCCAAGAGGAGCAUGCGCAUCCUCUCAGAGUGGCUCUUCAGACUUUGAAGAAUAGUCAGCUAUAUGCCAAAGUUUCAAAAUGUGAAUUUUGGCUAAGUUCAGUUGCAUUUCUGGGUCAUGUUGUGACGGCAGAAGGUAUUCAGGUUGAUCCAAGAAAGAUUGAGGCAGUCAAGAACUGGCCUACACCAGCAUAAGCUACAGAGAUCCGGAGUUUCUUGGGAUUAGCAGGUUAUUAUCGGCAAUUUGUGUAAGGGUUUCCAUAUAUUGCAACCCCGAUGACCAGAUCGACCCAUUAGGGUGUCCAGUUUGUAUGGUCAGAUGAAGGUGAGAUGAGCUUUCAGAAGCUCAAGAUAGCCUUGACCACAACACCGGUGUUGGUUUUGCCCAUAGGUUCGGGACCUUAUACUAUUUAUUGUGAUGCUUCCCGUAUUGGGCUUGGUGCGGUAUUGAUGCAGGAUGGCAAGGUUAUUGCCUAUGCUUCGAGGCAGCUGAAGAUUCAUGAAAAGAACUAUCCAGUUCAUGACUUAGAGUUGGCGGAUUGUUCAUGCAUUGAAGAUUUGGAGGCAUUAUUUGUAUGGCGUAGCAUGUGAAGUAUUCACUGAUCACAAAAGCCUUCAGUACAUGUUUAAACAUAAGGAGUUGAAUUUGAGGCAAAGAAGAUGGUUGGAAUUGUUGAAAGAUUAUGACAUCACCAUUCUAUAUCACUCGGGAAAGGCAAAUGUGGUUGUCGAUGCUUUAAGCAGGAAGUCAGCCAGUAUGGGCAGUCUUGCUUAUAUUCCGGUCAGUCAGAGGACUCUUGCUAUGGAUGUUCAGCCUUAGCCAAUCGCUUUGUGAGGUUGGAUAUUUUUGAGUCUAGUCGAGUGCUAGCUUUCACGGUCGCUCGCUCUUCAUUAUUUGAGCGUAUCUGCAAUUGACAGUUUGAUAAUUGCUAUCCUUAAAGACACGGUUUAGCGAGGAGGUGCCAAGCAGGUCACCUUAGAUGCUGAUGGAGUUCUGAGAUUGCAAGGGCGAAUUUGUGUGCCAGAUGUUGAUGGACUUCGAUAAUUGAUUCUAUAAGAAGCUCAUUGUUCCCGGUAUUCUAUUCAUCCAGGAGCAGAAAAGGUGUAUCAGGAUUUGCGGCAACAUUAUUGGUGGCACAGAAUGAAAAAGGAUAUUAUGGCAUAUGUAGCGCGGUGUUUGAAUUGUCAACAGGUUAAUAUGAGCAUCAGAGGCCUGGGAGUUUAUUUCAGAAAAUUGAGCUUCCCGAGUGGAAGUGUGAGCGGAUCACUAUGGACUUUGUUACUAGACUUCUGCUGAAUUAGAAGAAGUUCGACUCAAUAUGUGCCAGAUGUUAAUGGGCUUCGAGAGUUGAUUCUAGAAGAGGCUCACAACUCCCGGUAUUCUAUUCAUCCAGGCGCAUCAAAGAUGUAUCAGGAUUUACAGCAACAUUUUUGGUGGUGCAAAAUGAAAAAGGAUAUUGUGGAAUAUGUAGCUGCGGUGUUUGAAUUGUCAACAUGUUUAAUAUGAGCAUCAGAGACCGGGUGGUCUAUUGCAGAAAAUUGAACUUCCCGAGUGGAAGUGGGAGCGGAUCACUAUAGACUUUGUUACUGGUCUUCCAAUGACUCGGAAGAAGUUUGAUGCGGUUUGGGUUAUUGUUGAUAGGCUGACCAAGUCAGUACAUUUUUUUCCUGUUGCCACCACUUACUCGUCCGAGAGGUUAGCGGGGAUUUAUAUCAGGGAGAUUGUUCGCCUUCAUAGGGUGCCUAUAUCUAUCAUAUCGGAUCGAGGACUGCAAUUCACCUCACAUUUCAGGAAGGCGUUUUAGAAAGGGCUGGGCACCCAAUUUCAGCUGAGUACAACAUUUCAUCACCAAAUGGACGGUCAGUCCGAGAGGACUAUUCAGAUAUUGGAGAAUAUGCUCCGAGCUUGUGUCGUUGAUUUUGGAGGUUCGUGGGGAUCAAUUCUUACCUUUGGCAGAGUUUUCUUAUAAUAACAACUAUCAAUCGAGCAUUUAGAUGGUUCUUAUGAAGCCUUGUAUGGUAGACGUGCCGUUCUCCAGUUGGAUGGUUUGAAACGGGAGAGGCUCGGUUGUUGGGUACGGAUAUAGUUCAAGAGGCCUUAGAUAAGGUCAAGAUUAUUCAGGAUAGGCUUCGUAUAGCUCAGUCCAGACAUAAGAGUUAUGCAUAUCGCAAGGUUAGAGACUUAGCUUUUAUGACUGGUGAGCGGGUAUUACUCCGUGUAUCGCCUAUGAAGGGCGUAAUGAGAUUUGGUAAGAAGGGAUAGCUUAGCCCUAGGUUUAUUGGCCUAUUCGAGAUCCUUGAUCGUGUGGGAAAGGUGGCUCAUAAACUUGCUUUGCCACCUAAUUUGUCAGCUGUGCAUCCAGUGUUUCAUGUAUCCGUGCUCCGAAAAUAUCACGGCGAUCCAUCCCACGUAUUAGAUUUCAGAACUGUCCAAUUGGACAAAGAUCUGUCUUAUGAGGAGGAGCCGGUGGUUAUAUUAGACCGAUAGGUUUGACAGUUGAGGUCGAAGAGUUUCCCUUCUGUGCGUGUUCAGUGGAGAGGUCAUCCUCCAGAGGCAUCGACCUAGUAGUCCAGUCUGACAUGCGGAGCCAUUAUUCUCAUCUAUUCCCUUACUUAGGUACUUCUUUCUUUUGUCCGUUCGAGGACGAACGAUUGUUUUAAAGGUGGAGAAUGUGAAUGCGCAAAGGAUCAUCACUUGUUUUCUUAGUCAAUAUGUGCUUCCGAAGUCUUGAAAAUCUCAUUUAGAGUUGUCUCGAUUUGCGCGUGCAAUCCGGGCCGGUAGUUGGAAAACUUAAAUAUAAAAUUCUAAAAAUAAAAUGAUGAAAUUUCGGUAUAAAAUGCGUAAAUUUGAUUUUGAUCAAUAUUUUGGGUAAACGGACUCGGACCCGUGAAUUGAGAAGUUGUAGUGUUUAUAUGAGGUUAGAAAAAUUAUAAGUUAAGGAGAGAUACAUAUUUUUACAUGGAUGUUUUAAUAAAAUAAUAGCAUAUGUAUUUAUUUAUUUUAUAUGCUCUCACAUAACCAUAAUAGUAAGUUAUAUAGAGUGUAUUAAAAGUGAGUAGUAUUUUAAGUAAUUUGAGAUAAUUCAUAAUUACGCGGAGUAAAUCGGUCAUUAUCUAAUAUAGUUGGGAUAAUACACUAUGUGGCCGACACCUUUAUACAAGUGGUGACUAUUAAUAUAGUCAAUAUAGGUGGAAACCAUGUUAAAGACACAUUCCAUUAGCAAUUCUAUAAGUUCGGUGAUUGGGUAGAAAUAUUUUAUAGAAAAGAAAAUGAUCACUUGAUGAAUAUUGUCAGAUGAAAAACGUUUUGUUCUUCCACUAUUCUGUUUGAAAUAGAAGCAUGGCCAAAAGCUUUUCAUCCAUGCCAAAAGCCAACCUAUUUUGUUCCUACAGUUUCAGACUAGUGAAAAUUUCUCGUGCAAAAUUCUUGUUCUCUUAUUCUUGCGUAUAGACUUCAUUUGGAUAUUUAAGAGAAUCGGUUCAGAUUCGAGCGGUUUUGUAAUGAAUUCAAGGGGUAAAACUAUACUAGAGGCUUGAGUUAAUUUUGGAGCUUUCGAGGUAAGUGUUUGUUCUAAUUUUUGCUUGAGGGAGUAGGAUUAGCAUAUUAAUUGCUAAUUGCUAAAUGUGAAGUACGAUGUAUAAGUAUGAUGACGAGUAUCUAUGGACCAGAGUCUAGCAUAACUGUGGGUCUUAAUUGUGUAUAUCCGGAUUGUGUAAUACUUAUUCCCUGUUAAAUUUAUAAGUUUCAUAUAAUUAGUCUUUUCUUAACUUUGAUAUUUGGUGAAACAACGGUUUAACAAAGAAAGAACGUACUUUUAAUUAUGAAAUAAGUUUAAACAGCACAAAACGUUUAAGAAGUAGUAGUAAGAGAAAGCAGUGGAUAAAAAUAAAAAAUAAAAAAAAUCAAAAGAGGAAAUUAACAUUACCUGGGAAAGGAGAAGCAAGUAGUUAUCUUUCCUUAGUCUUCUAUAGAACAGACAGACAUCGUAACCCUUUAUUUAGCUAGUUGUGGGACGUAGAUAGAAGUGUUUUAAUCUACGUAGGAUUGGUAUAACUUUUGGAACUUCAACGUAUUGGCAGGACAUUGGUUAGUAUUAGAGUUCAACGCAAAUUUCUAUUUGAGAUAUGUUCUCAAUUUUACAAUUAUAUCCAAUAGUUAUUUAGCGUUUGAAUAAUUAUUUUAGCUAUUAAAGGAUAUAAAAGUAGAUCAAUAUUAUUUUAUGGGUAUUUUUAUCAUUCGACAUUUAGCGUAAAUUAUUCGUACUUUUAUAAUAAUAUAAAUGUGAAAGAUUUGAGGAAGAAUUAAACAAAUGAGGAAGUGUUGUAAUUAUUUCCCUUUCCGGGACGUAUUGUUCAGUGUUGCUAUUGCUCCCUUGAUGGGAUUUAGGUAUUAUAUGCUCUCCUUUGCCGGGAUAUUUGGGCUGUUAGCUGUACCCUUGCCGGGUUAAAGUGUUAUGCUGUUGAAUUUCCCCAACGGGGCUUUCUUUACAAAAUCAGAUAUUAUGAACUAUAAUAUGGGAUCGUGUGACACGCCGUCCACUUAUAUAUAUAUUUUAUUAAAUGAGAUCGUGUAGCACGCCGCCCACUUAAAUAUUAUGGAAUCGGAUCGUGUGGCACGCCGUCCACUUAUAAAUUAUGAGAUGGGAUCAUGUGGCACGCUGACCACUUAUAUGUAUAUUUUGGGACCGCGUGGCGCGCCGACCACUUUCUGAGUUGUGGACGAUACAGUUUUCAUUGUUAUUCUAAAUUAUUAGAUUUCAGUGUAUCUUCCCUAAGCAUACCCCCUCCCAGACUUAUUGAUGUUUCUGUUUUUAUUUCUGUUGCUCUUGCAUAUAUAUAUAUAUAUAUAUAUAUGUACAUGUUGGUUUUGGUAGGUCCUGUCCAGCACAUGGAGUCGGUUGUGCUGGUUCUACACUCUGUGCUCUCUUUGCGCAGGUACAGGUCACGGACAGCUGCAACAGCAGCAGUAGUGCGGGUGUUAGUAUCCUGAUCAUCGAGACACCGAAGUAGUUUUGCAGGCGUCCGCAGGACCCGGCGUCUCCUCUAUCUUUACUUUUCAGUAUGUUAUCUCAUGUAUUCGAGACAAACAUCUUUAUAUUUCUUUCAGACAGUUACUUUUAGUAUUCUUAGAAGUUUGUGAGUAUUGUGACACCAGUUCUUGGGUAGUGUAUUACGUUUGCGUAUCACAUCUAGUGAAAUUUACUAAGCCUUCCGUAAAAUUUAUUCCAUAGUAAUCAUAUUUUUAUUGCUAAUUGUGUUAAAAUAAAUAUUGUGAAAAAUGGAAGGAUAAGAAAGUGUUGGCUUUCCUAGCUCCCAUUAGUAGGCGCCAUCACGAUUCCGAUAGGAGAAAAUUCGGGUUAUGACAUAUAAAGUAUUGAAUAGUGUGUAUUAAUAAUGCUAUGAUUAAUAAUAAAGAAAUUAGUUAUGCUCCAAUUAUUUCUUAUCAACUAUUUAGUUUGAUGUAUUAAAAACAAUAUGCAUCGCAUAAUUUUUUUAACAAAUUAUU
RNAcentral lists this long non-coding RNA (8719 nucleotides) under Nicotiana benthamiana. RNAcentral's name for it is "long non-coding RNA (NBEN_LNC005682)". Lineage: Eukaryota; Viridiplantae; Streptophyta; Magnoliopsida; Solanales; Solanaceae. The record is from RNAcentral.